Sycon ciliatum is the source of this 607-nucleotide long non-coding RNA. RefSeq lists it as uncharacterized. NCBI's taxonomy places the organism in Eukaryota, Metazoa, Porifera, Calcarea, Leucosolenida, Sycettidae. The record is from RefSeq and is a predicted model, not a curated record. The transcript has 3 exons.
UGGACGCUGGUGUCCAGGGAGUUUCGCCCGUGCACCAAGCUGUUCAUGCAGAUGAUUGGCUCUAAUGCUAGCCAACCGCUGCUGGAAAGAUUCUCUCCUGAAGGCGGUGUGCACAUGAGAAACGCCAGCUCCACUUGGUUUGAAAACCCUUCCAAUGCUCGCAUUACAUUCUGCAUGCUCAAAAGUCAUAUCUGCACAAUAAAGCAACGUGAUUUUGUUGUGACGGGUUUCUAUGGGCAAGGAGGAUAUACGUAUACAAGUGCCAAGCAGGUGUGCGAGUCUAACGGACUGCAGUUACUAUCGGCAGAUGUCGCUAAAUGCGCAGCCAGCGACACUGGUGUCUACAGCGGUGUAAAGGCAUGGACGUCUGGCCAAACACCGGAGAUUACGAACAGCGACAGCAAGAGUCUCUUGACCGGAAAUGCUCCCGAUGUGCUUUGUCAACGAUCAAUUCCAAACUGUCCGACUGUGAGAAUUCCUAACGGGUUUCUGAACAUGUCCUUUGUUGCCGACAAGGUUUCGGCAACAUGUGACAGCGGAUAUUUUCUGACCGGAUAUGCCAAUUGUACGCAAAAUGGCGAAUGGGUAUAUAGGGGGCUAUUGUGCC